This is a long non-coding RNA of Ictalurus punctatus (channel catfish), 2828 nucleotides long. The record is from Ensembl. Lineage: Eukaryota; Metazoa; Chordata; Actinopteri; Siluriformes; Ictaluridae.
CUCCUCCAGCUGACUGUCCUAAUCUCAUCUGAAUCACUUCUUUUUAACCGCCAGAAGAGAUUUCUAAUGCCUCUGCUCAUCAAUGUCUCCACAGCAGUGACACCAUCAAACCAACACUCAGAGGAAGCAGUGACACUCAUUAAGAUAAAGAGCUCAUUUCAGUCGGGACACCAUGCAAAAGCCUCAGUGCUUUCCUAAAUUCUCUCCAAAUGCACCAUCAGGUUUCCAUAAAACGAAUCCCUCUGAAGCCACAAAGUGGGCCUUCGGGGCGACUGGCAUUUACAGCGACUCGGCACAAACCCACAGAGUCGUAUUGGCGAAGCGGCUCGGCUCAGAGACGUGCUGAAAAUAAUCCCGCUGAAGUUCCUGAAGGAGACGGACGAGGAGCAACACCUGACCGUCCCUCGCCAUCAGCAAAACUACACUCACAUUUCUAUGAGUCUGUGGAUAACAUCAGAAACCUUCAAAGAGAGUGAGGAGGCUUCGGCCUCGGGGAGGAGAAGAGCUGAGGAGUGUAAACCAGGUGUGAAACGUGGAACCAGGAAAAGAGGGAAAAAUCACACACAGGCUACAGUAACUGAGCAAAGAUAAAGACAAAGAAUAGCUGCCAUGAGCUCCAUGACGCAAUAACGCUCUCCUCUUAUCUGUGCGCUGUUGCCAAGUUAAACGCUGUGGAGAAAAACGUGGCAAAGCAAAUCCACGUUAUAAAUAGCUGGCUGAGGUACGCCCCAAUGAGACAUUCCUGAUAUCAGAUCAAGCCAAGAAUGGAACGCCACAGACCUCGCGUUCGGCCAGACGAGGAUCUGCAGUGCUGUGGGGCAGGGAAGAGCCGGGGAACGGGGUGAAACGGGUACACGAUGCAAACACACACCGUGUGCUGAACUGCUAAUACAACCUCAGCGAUCUUCACUAAUCAUCUAAAACCCUUUACGGCACAGUUCUGCAGACAGACUGGCGAUAUUCCCGAGUCAGUAGCGACUGUAUGGCAGCGGGAUUAGAAUAUGUAGAAUAUGCAGAAUAUGUUACAGUGCUGCAUACCGAUAUAUAUAUAGAUAUAUUAGUUUAAAAACUAACAAGUGGAAUCCUGUCAUCAUGUGUUUCAUUACAGAAAAAAAUCCCUAUUACAAAAAGUUUUUCAGGACUGAUUUAUUAAACAAAGUUCCUGACUCUCUACGUUCAGUUCUGUGUGUAAUGGAAAAUGUGAUGUGCAUUAUAGAGGUGCAGAAAAUAAAGAAAUAUCUGAAGCCUAGUUCCAGCUGUGGAAAUGAGUGUCUUUAACGUCCAGACGUUUCCAGACAACGAGUGUGUUAAAGACACUGCGUUCUUCUGACCAAGCGUAUUCCUUUAGCUUGUGAAUAUCUGAAACAGUUUCUUCAGCUCUCCUAGUCUCUCUCGCUCACACUCACACACCUGGAAUAGUGAGCUGUUGAGAAGCUCAUGUGAUGUAAUGUAAAGGAGAUAAUGUGUAAUGUGAAGGAGAACUGCAUCAUGAUGAAUAUUAACACACGAUAUAUUGUGCAGCUGCUGGAUCCUGAGCCACCAUCACACUCACACACCACACACUGCAGCUCUUCACUUCCACUCGCUCUGGAAUGCCGUGUGACGUCAUCUAUUUGGGCUCAGAUUUCCUUUGGAACUUUUGAAAACGGUUCAGCAAAAAAAAAAAAACGAUUCAGUUUUGAAAUAUCAAAAGUUACACUGCGAUAUUUAUGUGAAAUUUCCCCUGAACACAAACUUCACCAAAGUUUUAUCUGAAAAGGGAGAGAAAGAGAGAGAGAGAAAAAACGCUAGCAGUCCACGUCACUAAAGUCUGAUAAAUCAAUUAGACAAUCUGAUCUGGAGGAAUAAAAACUGUAGUGAAACAGACUGUACACAGUAAACUGUUCAGGGUGUUUAUGUUGAUUAGAUGGAAAGCUCUAGCGGUAGAACUGGACUUUCUGUACUGGAUCGCGGUUCUGAAUUGUUGGCAUCAUGCCAUCGCUGGUUUGCUUUGACGUGUCACUUAUAAAAAAAAAUCCGCUGCAUUUUUUGUUGGAAAUCUGCUCUGCAGUUUUAAUAUAGCGCCACAGAGUCGAUUAAGAGCGUUACAGAGUUGUGUUAGGAGUAUGUGUUAGGAGAUGAAUCCAGGCCAGAACUUUCCAGAACUUUCCGGACGGGCAAAAAGUCCGAACUUUUCAGAAAGUCCUCAACUGUGUGGUGAUCAGAGCUACCGGAAAUCAACCCGUUUAUAAAAGGUUUCUAAAGUGAAAAGUGAGAAAUAUAAUAGCGGAGAAAAGGAGAAGAGAGCGAGAGAGAGAGAAUAAAACCCAAAAACCAGCUCCAGACGCCAUGGAGCUCAGUGUGAAAACACACACACACACUUAAUACACACACAACACACACACACUUAAUACACAGAAGCAUAAAGAACAAGCCCGGCCGCGUAUAAAGGAUUGGAGUGGAAUAAUGGCUUAGGUUUCGAUUUCCAUCCACUCCGAAACUUCCGUUUCUCCAGCCGAGCAAUGAACCGGCGUCUUCUCCUCUUUCCUCUCCUCUUUCCUCUCUUUCAACUUUUCCCCCAAAUGUUCCUCACAGCUCCUAACCUCCUCCACAGCACACGCAGCCUCUCUAACUGUCCACAUACACACAUACUUUACUUACUUUAACUUCAGCAAAUCUCUCGCUAAUCCACGUGUAAGUCCUCUGUGACUGAAACUGAAUUAAUAGUCAUCCCCGAGCGGCUCCGUCCACAGUGGACCGACUGCGGGAUUCCGCCAUGUCAAUUAUGUGGCAGUGCGCGUGGGGGGGCAGAGGAGCCCACAGGAACCUGGAGAACCCAGAUGAGACAG